This is a long non-coding RNA of Heterocephalus glaber (naked mole-rat), 795 nucleotides long. The record is from Ensembl. NCBI's taxonomy places the organism in Eukaryota, Metazoa, Chordata, Mammalia, Rodentia, Bathyergidae.
CCGCGCCUGAACUUUGGCCCUGGGGCCGCUGACACCCGAGGGAGUCUGAGAGCGAUGACGUCUCCGCCGGUUUCAGCUGCACAACAGGAAAUGCUCCGGGCCUCCCCCUUCCUGCCCGGAGAAAGUGGGGCUCGCCGCUCCCGGGCCAGCCGAGACCCAGUUUCGGGCCGCGGCCCCGGCACCCGCAGAGCACCCAGGGGAGCAGAGGCUCGGGCCGGGCGUGGGAGGCGCGGGGACCCCGAAACCCGCCGGCUUGCUGAAUAAUGCUGACCUCAGAGGGCCGGGCGAUUUCUCUGCCUCGCACGAUGUUCAGCCUCUGCUCACAGAGCCCUGCUAGGAAACCUGCUUUAACCCCGCGUCUCGCUGCCACCUCCUUACUCUGUUGUGCAAACAUAGCUGUGUGUUUAGUGCACAAUACAACGCCCUGCACUCAAACCUCCAAGACGGAAUUCUUACCAGAAAAGCCUCGAAGUAGUCACGAUUUGAGUCGUUAUUUAGUUUGCAUCUUUCGAAGCUCUUGGUGGCAGCAUCAUGAGAAUGAAUUAGAGGAAACCAAGCCAGGAUUCAGGAGACAUGCUGUGCAGACAAUUCCAGUCAUCUUCAGAAAGAAGAAUAAAAGAAGCCCUGGAGUAAUGCUGUGGUUUUGAGAAUAAUGGGUGCAGGAUGGACUGUCAUCUGUCAUGCUUGGGAAGCACUGCUGAGUGACUGAGUUGGUGUGAGGGGGAGGGAGAAAGAAGGCGAAGGCUGCAGCUGGCGUGACAAGGUGGACAGGAGGACGUCGCUCAGAUAAGGAAG